This 1346-nucleotide ribosomal RNA is filed under the name metagenome. RNAcentral describes it as "bacterial SSU rRNA". It matches the Rfam family "Bacterial small subunit ribosomal RNA", at positions 8 to 1374 of the family's 1533-position model. The record is from RNAcentral.
AGAGUUUGAUCCUGGCUCAGGACGAACGCUGGCGGCACGCUUAACACAUGCAAGUCGAACGAGAGAAGAGGAGCUUGCUUUUCUGAUCUAGUGGCGGACGGGCGAGUAACACGUGAGCAAUCUGCCUUUCAGAGGGGGAUACCGAUUGGAAACGAUCGUUAAUACCGCAUAACAUAAUUGAACCGCAUGAUUUGAUUAUCAAAGAUUUAUCGCUGAAAGAUGAGCUCGCGUCUGAUUAGCUAGUUGGUAAGGUAACGGCUUACCAAGGCGACGAUCAGUAGCCGGACUGAGAGGUUGAUCGGCCACAUUGGGACUGAGACACGGCCCAGACUCCUACGGGAGGCAGCAGUGGGGAAUAUUGCACAAUGGAGGAAACUCUGAUGCAGCGAUGCCGCGUGAGGGAAGAAGGUUUUAGGAUUGUAAACCUCUGUCUUCAGGGACGAAAAAAGACGGUACCUGAGGAGGAAGCUCCGGCUAACUACGUGCCAGCAGCCGCGGUAAUACGUAGGGAGCGAGCGUUGUCCGGAAUUACUGGGUGUAAAGGGAGCGUAGGCGGGAUCGCAAGUCAGAUGUGAAAACUAUGGGCUUAACCCAUAAACUGCAUUUGAAACUGUGGUUCUUGAGUGAAGUAGAGGUAAGCGGAAUUCCUAGUGUAGCGGUGAAAUGCGUAGAUAUUAGGAGGAACAUCAGUGGCGAAGGCGGCUUACUGGGCUUUAACUGACGCUGAGGCUCGAAAGCGUGGGGAGCAAACAGGAUUAGAUACCCUGGUAGUCCACGCCGUAAACGAUGAUUACUAGGUGUGGGGGGACUGACCCCUUCCGUGCCGCAGCAAACGCAAUAAGUAAUCCACCUGGGGAGUACGACCGCAAGGUUGAAACUCAAAGGAAUUGACGGGGGCCCGCACAAGCAGUGGAGUAUGUGGAUUAAUUCGAAGCGACGCGAAGAACCUUACCAGGUCUUGACAUCGUAUGCAUAGCUCAGAGAUGAGUGAAAUCUCUUCGGAGACAUAUAGACAGGUGGUGCAUGGUUGUCGUCAGCUCGUGUCGUGAGAUGUUGGGUUAAGUCCCGCAACGAGCGCAACCCUUACUGUUAGUUGCUACGCAAGAGCACUCUAGCAGGACUGCCGUUGACAAAACGGAGGAAGGUGGGGAUGACGUCAAAUCAUCAUGCCCCUUAUGACCUGGGCCUCACACGUACUACAAUGGCUGUCAACAGAGGGAAGCAAAGCCGCGAGGUGGAGCGAACCCCUAAAAGCAGUCUUAGUUCGGAUUGUAGGCUGCAACCCGCCUACAUGAAGUCGGAAUUGCUAGUAAUCGCAGAUCAGCAUGCUGCGGUGAAUACGUUCU